AGUGAACGCUGGCGGUAGGCCUAACACAUGCAAGUCGAACGGCAGCACAGUAAGAGCUUGCUCUUACGGGUGGCGAGUGGCGGACGGGUGAGGAAUACAUCGGAAUCUACUUUUUCGUGGGGGAUAACGUAGGGAAACUUACGCUAAUACCGCAUACGACCUACGGGUGAAAGCAGGGGAUCUUCGGACCUUGCGCGAUUGAAUGAGCCGAUGUCGGAUUAGCUAGUUGGCGGGGUAAAGGCCCACCAAGGCGACGAUCCGUAGCUGGUCUGAGAGGAUGAUCAGCCACACUGGGACUGAGACACGGUCCAGACUCCUACGGGAGGCAGCAGUGGGGAAUAUUGGACAAUGGGCGGAAGCCUGAUCCAGCCAUACCGCGUGGGUGAAGAAGGCCUUCGGGUUGUAAAGCCCUUUUGUUGGGAAAGAAAAGCAGCAGGUUAAUACCCCGCUGUUCUGACGGUACCCAAAGAAUAAGCACCGGCUAACUUCGUG
This 492-nucleotide ribosomal RNA is filed under the name uncultured bacterium. RNAcentral's name for it is "partial 16S ribosomal RNA". It matches the Rfam family "Bacterial small subunit ribosomal RNA", at positions 29 to 507 of the family's 1533-position model. The record is from RNAcentral.